CAGCAUACAGCAGCAUUUCAUGACGUCAUCACGCUGUGUCAAGAAUGCUGUCAUCAAACUUCAACCUGCAGCAAUAUCUGAGGACGUGCAAUGUCAGCGCGUCGUUUCCUAGAAGCGCAGUAACGAGACGCGCCGGCUUGCAGCCUUCUAUUCUCGGAAAACGCUUAUAUUAGUGUGAAAAAUAAAAGUGACCGUGUGAUGGUAUCACACGUCCGCUCGCGUCAGCAUCUUGCCGGAAAGUGACCAG
Molecule: long non-coding RNA, 247 nt
Organism: Plodia interpunctella (Indianmeal moth)
Lineage: Eukaryota; Metazoa; Arthropoda; Insecta; Lepidoptera; Pyralidae
Exons: 3
Source: RefSeq, a predicted model, not a curated record